RNAcentral lists this ribosomal RNA (201 nucleotides) under uncultured bacterium. RNAcentral's name for it is "partial 16S ribosomal RNA". It matches the Rfam family "Bacterial small subunit ribosomal RNA", at positions 524 to 724 of the family's 1533-position model. The record is from RNAcentral.
UACAGAGGUGGCAAGCGUUGUUCGGAAUUACUGGGCGUAAAGGGCGCGUAGGCGGUCCUCUAAGUCUUGUGUGAAAUCCCUCGGCUCAACUGAGGAACUGCACGGGAUACUGGAAGACUUGAGUUCGGGAGAGGGAAGCGGAAUUCCGGGUGUAGCGGUGAAAUGCGUAGAUAUCCGGAGGAACACCGGUGGCGAAGGCGG